Molecule: long non-coding RNA, 588 nt
Organism: Hemicordylus capensis (graceful crag lizard)
Lineage: Eukaryota; Metazoa; Chordata; Lepidosauria; Squamata; Cordylidae
Exons: 3
Source: RefSeq, a predicted model, not a curated record
CCUUCCUCACCACCUCUUACCUGCCUUCCUCUGACCCCUCAGGUCCUUGUCUGCCUGCUCUGGAACUUAAACUAAACUUGCUGCUGCCUGCCUCCAAAUCCAGCUGAAGCCUGACAUGUAUCCUGGGAAGAUUUGGGGGGAAGGACCUAUAUCUGGCUGAAGCAUUUAAUAAAAAAGCCUUUGAUCUCAGAGGAAGUAAGAAUAAAUAUUUUAUGAUUCCUGAUACAGAAAGAAACCCUGAUCUAGCACAGUGGGGAUAAUUCACUUUGCACCAUCAAACAUUCCUGCGUGAGUAGUUGGAGAUCCGGAUGAGAAGAGGUUGCUAAAAGCCCCACACUCCCAUGGAGCUCAGAAUUAGCAUUAGUUUCAUGAUGAUGAAUUAAUGCUCCUCAGGCAUCUUCAUAGAUGGUGAACAAUGCACAAUUGACGAAGAUCGCACAGCAAGCUAUAGAAAAUGAUAUGAAACAAGAGCUUAAUUUCUGGAUGUAACCCAGGCUGCUUAGAAGAAUGUUGUCAUAGCCCAGAUCACAAGUGAUAGCCAGAUUCUGGAUGGAGGGAAGAGCCAGACAAGUCAUCAGCACCAACACC